AUUAUCUUGCCUGAUUCUAACCACAGUUCUCCUUAUUGAGCAUCUGAUGGGUUUACAAUCUUGCCUGAUUCUAACCGUUGAAACUUAUUUGAUUUAUGGUAUGCUACAGGGAUCAAAACAAUAAACUUCUCCUAAAUCCAGAGAUAAAUUUUAUUAGUAGCAGACUCCUGGUUUAAUAUAUUUUAAGCUACAGAGACCCCUAACAUGGUUAUAUGUGAGUUUGUAGUGAUGGCAACAGAUGUUGAGCCUCUUGAAAUUAUUCUUCAUCGUCCCUUCUUGCUGAAGAUAAGGUUUUCUACAGGCGCUGUCCUUUAAGUUUAGA
RNAcentral lists this long non-coding RNA (322 nucleotides) under Helianthus annuus (common sunflower). RNAcentral's name for it is "sRNA HanXRQr2_Chr08g0339471". The record is from RNAcentral. Lineage: Eukaryota; Viridiplantae; Streptophyta; Magnoliopsida; Asterales; Asteraceae.